RNAcentral lists this ribosomal RNA (498 nucleotides) under fungal sp. TRN491. RNAcentral describes it as "SSU rRNA". It matches the Rfam family "Eukaryotic small subunit ribosomal RNA", at positions 57 to 560 of the family's 1831-position model. The record is from RNAcentral. Lineage: Eukaryota; Fungi.
GUCUAAGUAUAAGCAACUAUACGGUGAAACUGCGAAUGGCUCAUUAAAUCAGUUAUCGUUUAUUUGAUAGUACCUUACUACAUGGAUACCUGUGGUAAUUCUAGAGCUAAUACAUGCUAAAAACCCCGACUUCGGAAGGGGUGUAUUUAUUAGAUAAAAAACCAAUGCCCUUCGGGGCUCCUUGGUGAAUCAUAAUAACUUAACGAAUCGCAUGGCCUUGCGCCGGCGAUGGUUCAUUCAAAUUUCUGCCCUAUCAACUUUCGAUGGUAGGAUAGUGGCCUACCAUGGUGGCAACGGGUAACGGGGAAUUAGGGUUCUAUUCCGGAGAGGGAGCCUGAGAAACGGCUACCACAUCCAAGGAAGGCAGCAGGCGCGCAAAUUACCCAAUCCCGAUACGGGGAGGUAGUGACAAUAAAUACUGAUACAGGGCUCUUUUGGGUCUUGUAAUUGGAAUGAGUACAAUUUAAAUCCCUUAACGAGGAACAAUUGGAGGGCAGU